CGAGACCAUUGUAGAAAAUACAAUACUAACAUCAGAUGACCAUAACAUAUCAGCGCAAGAAGGUGAUUCCAAAAAUGGUGAUGGAUUAUGAUGAAAGUUCUUUAGUUAAAAGUCCUGCUAAUGAUUCAGAUCUAUAUCCGAACUAUACACCUGAUGAUGAAACUUUACGAAUAAAAAGAAAGAGAAAAUUCCAUGAUUGUAUGUACCUUCCCAUUUUGGUGCGUUAUUAGUAUUUUUUUUAUAGAAUGUUUUGUAAAACUUAACUUUAUUGCAGAUUCAGACGUUGGUACGGAAAGUCAUGAAGGUAAUAACGAGAACUCUCCAAUAAUACAAAAAAAAUCUCAAAAGAAGAAAAGAGCAAGAACUACUUUUGGAGAGAGGCGUCAAUAUUUUAAUGCACACAUAGAAUUUAAAACAAUUAAGCAGAGGAAAACUGAUAUUAAUAAUAAAAGGCAGUGCUCACUUUCUUAUACUAUGGACAAAUCUGAUGGGACAAAAGUUCAAGUAUGCAAACUUAUGUUUUUGCAUGCACAUGGAUUAAACACUGACGGCAUGAUAACUGAAUUUAAGAGGAAACAAAAUGUAUCAAAAGGGCUUGAUAUUUUUACUGAUAAACGUGGAAAGUCAACGCCUUCAAAUAAGAAAGAUGGAGAACUAUUUAAGCAACAUAUACAGAGUCUUACAAUCCACAAGUUUCCCAUUACAAGUUCUCCCAUGCUCCUAAUAGAAGAUAUCUACCUUCGGAUUUAAAUGUAACAUCUAUGUGGAAAGACUUUUGUGAACAUCAUGAAAAGGUCUCGUAUGAAAAAUAUCGACAUGAGUUUAAUUUGUUAAACAUCGGGCUUGAGCAACCCAAUCAAGACGAAUGUAGUGAUUGUAUAUUACAUAAAGAACAAGAAAAAAUCUGUAAAGAAUCAAGAGAAUCUUGCACUACAUGUACCGAUUUUGACAAACAUCAUUUAUUGUAUGUUGAAGCAAGAAAGGCUUACGAAGAUGACAGGGACAAAAAAAGAUAUCCAAAUUCAUUUUGAGUUUAUAGUGUGGACAUACAAAAAGUUCUCCUUUUACCAAAAAUGUCUCUAAAGUCGUCUGUUUUUGCCAGAAAGUUAGUUGUGUUCAACGAAACAUUUGCUUCGCUGCUAAACAAUGGGGAAAAUAUUUGUGUUUUGUGGCAUGAAGCCAUUAGUGGUAGAUUAGCAGAGGAUGUGGCAUCGACUUACCUUGCAGUAAUGCAAAGAGCCUCUGCUGAUGUAGAACUACUUAUUUUGGUGCGACAACUGUAGUGCCCAAAAUAAAAAUUGGAGGCUUUAUGCUGUAUUCGUAUCUAUUGUAAAUUCUAACUGGGGACCAAAAUGCAUAACAGUUAAAUAUUUUGAAGCAGGUCAUUCUUAUAUGAAGGCCGAUGCUGUUCACGGCCAAAUGGGAAAGCUUUAAAGAAGAGAGCUAACGUUUACGACUUGAAUGAAUUAAAUGAACUUAUUCUUAAAACAUCAAGAAAAAACAAAACACUGCUUAUGUCUUAUGAAGACUUUUAUGAAUUUAAAGAAGGGGCAAGGCAAAAGAAAAAAGCAGAUGAAACAAUGCCAUUGCUAAACGAAGUUAAAGUAGCAGAAUUUCGAAAGGGUACCAAAAAUGUAUUUUUCAAAAAAAAUCAUACGGA
This is a long non-coding RNA of Anthonomus grandis grandis, 1660 nucleotides long. RefSeq lists it as uncharacterized. NCBI's taxonomy places the organism in Eukaryota, Metazoa, Arthropoda, Insecta, Coleoptera, Curculionidae. The transcript has 2 exons. The record is from RefSeq and is a predicted model, not a curated record.